This 431-nucleotide ribosomal RNA is filed under the name uncultured bacterium. Its description in RNAcentral is "partial 16S ribosomal RNA". It matches the Rfam family "Bacterial small subunit ribosomal RNA", at positions 29 to 507 of the family's 1533-position model. The record is from RNAcentral.
AACGAACGCUGGCGGCAGGCUUAACACAUGCAAGUCGAACGCCCCGCAAGGGGAGUGGCAGACGGGUGAGUAACGCGUGGGAACAUACCCUUUUCUACGGAAUAGCUCUGGGAAACUGGAAUUAAUACCGUAUACGCCCUACGGGGGAUAGAUUUAUCGGGGAAGGAUUGGCCCGCGUUGGAUUAGCUAGUUGGUGGGGUAAAGGCCUACCAAGGCGACGAUCCAUAGCUGGUCUGAGAGGAUGAUCAGCCACAUUGGGACUGAGACACGGCCCAAACUCCUACGGGAGGCAGCAGUGGGGAAUAUUGGACAAUGGGCGCAAGCCUGAUCCAGCCAUGCCGCGUGAGUGAUGAAGGCCUUAGGGUUGUAAAGCUCUUUCACCGAUGAUGAUAAUGACGGUAGUCGGAGAAGAAGCCCCGGCUAACUUCGUG